Molecule: ribosomal RNA, 406 nt
Filed under: uncultured bacterium
Lineage: Bacteria
Description: bacterial SSU rRNA
Rfam family: Bacterial small subunit ribosomal RNA
Source: RNAcentral
AACGAACGCUGGCGGCGCGCCUAAUACAUGCAAGUCGAGCGAGAAGACGUAGCAAUACGUUUGUAAAGCGGCGAACGGGUGAGGAAUACAUGGGUAACCUACCCUCGAGUGGGGAAUAACUAGCCGAAAGGUUAGCUAAUACCGCGUACGCUCCUUGGACUUCGGUUCAGGGAGGAAAGCGAUACCGUGGGUAUCGCGCUCUUGGAUGGGCUCAUGUCCUAUCAGCUUGUUGGUGAGGUAACGGCUCACCAAGGCUUCGACGGGUAGCUGGUCUGAGAGGACGAUCAGCCACACUGGCACUGCGACACGGGCCAGACUCCUACGGGAGGCAGCAGUAAGGAAUAUUGCGCAAUGGGCAAAGCCUGACGCAGCGACGCCGCGUGGGGGAUGAAGGUCUUCGGAUUGU